RNAcentral lists this ribosomal RNA (264 nucleotides) under uncultured bacterium. RNAcentral's name for it is "partial 16S ribosomal RNA". It matches the Rfam family "Bacterial small subunit ribosomal RNA", at positions 91 to 354 of the family's 1533-position model. The record is from RNAcentral.
CUUAGUGGCGGACGGGUGAGUAACGCGUGGGUAACCUGCCUUGCACUGGGGGAGUAACACUUAGAAAUAGGUGCUAAUACCGCAUAAGCGCACGGUCCUGCAUGGGACAGUGUGAAAAACUCCGGUGGUGCAAGAUGGACCCGCGUCUGAUUAGCUGGUUGGCGGGGUAAAGGCCCACCAAGGCGACGAUCAGUAGCCGGCCUGAGAGGGUGGACGGCCACAUUGGGACUGAGACACGGCCCAAACUCCUACGGGAGGCAGCAG